RNAcentral lists this ribosomal RNA (398 nucleotides) under uncultured bacterium. RNAcentral's name for it is "bacterial SSU rRNA". It matches the Rfam family "Bacterial small subunit ribosomal RNA", at positions 358 to 773 of the family's 1533-position model. The record is from RNAcentral.
GGAAUUUUGCGCAAUGGGCGAAGGCCUGACGCAGCAACGCCGCGUGGGGGAAGAAGGCUCUCGGGUCGUAAACCUCUUUUGCCGGGGAAGAUAAUGACGGUACCCGGCGAAUAAGCCACGGCUAACUACGUGCCAGCAGCCGCGGUAAUACGUAGGUGGCAAGCGUUGUCCGGAUUUAUUGGGCGUACAGGGCGCGCAGGCGGUUCGUUUGGUCCGAGGUGAAAUCUCCUGGCUCAACUGGGAGAGGUCUUCGGAUACCGGCGGACUUGAGGAGAGCAGAGGUGAGUGGAAUUCUGGGUGUAGUGGUGAAAUGCGUAGAUAUCCAGAGGAACACCAGUGGCGAAGGCGACUCACUGGGCUCCACCUGACGCUGAGGCGCGAAAGCGUGGGGAGCGAAC